UACGAAGGGGGCAAGCGUUGUUCGGAAUUACUGGGCGUAAAGGGUGCGUAGGUGGCGGGGUUAGUCAGGUGUGAAAUCUCGAGGCUCAACCUUGAAGCUGCACUUGAUACUGCCUUGCUUGAGUACUGGAGAGGAGAUUGGAAUUUACGGUGUAGCAGUGAAAUGCGUAGAUAUCGUAAGGAAGACCAGUGGCGAAGGCGAAUCUCUGGACAGUUACUGACACUGAGGCACGAAGGCCAGGGGAGCAAACGGG
RNAcentral lists this ribosomal RNA (253 nucleotides) under uncultured prokaryote. RNAcentral's name for it is "partial 16S ribosomal RNA". It matches the Rfam family "Bacterial small subunit ribosomal RNA", at positions 524 to 776 of the family's 1533-position model. The record is from RNAcentral.